This 446-nucleotide ribosomal RNA is filed under the name Melanotrichus choii. Its description in RNAcentral is "partial large subunit ribosomal RNA". The stretch from base 320 to 446 matches the Rfam family "Archaeal large subunit ribosomal RNA", at positions 2542 to 2669 of the family's 2987-position model. The record is from RNAcentral. Lineage: Eukaryota; Metazoa; Arthropoda; Insecta; Hemiptera; Miridae.
GACUGUACAAAGGUAGCAUAAUCAUUUGAUUUUUAAUUGAAAUCUGGAAUGAAUGGUUGAAUGAAAAAUAUAUUUUCUUUUUUUUAAAAUUUAAAAAUUUAAUUUUUUAGUUAAAAAGCUAAGAUUAAGUUAUAAGACGAGAAGACCCUAUAGAACUUUAUUAUAUUUUUAUAUGUUUAUAUAUAGGAAAUUAUAUUUUAUAUAUAUUAAAUAUAAUUUUGUUGGGGUGACAGAAAAAAUUUAAUAACUUUUUUUAUUUUUUUCAUUAUGUAUGAAUAAAUGAUCCUUUUUUAGGGAUUAAAGAUCAAGUUACCUUAGGGAUAACAGCGUUAUUAUUUUGGAGAGUUCAUAUCUAUAAAAUAGUUUGCGACCUCGAUGUUGGAUUAUAAUAAGAUAUAGGAGUAGAAUAUUAUAUUCUAGGUCUGUUCGACCUUUAAAUUUUUACA